AUACGGAGGGUGCAAGCGUUACUCGGAAUCACUGGGCGUAAAGCGCGCGCAGGCGGCUUGAUAAGUUGGAUGUGAAAGCCUACGGCUCAACCGUAGAACUGCAUCCAAAACUGUCAAGCUAGAGUCUGGGAGGGGAAGAUGGAAUUAGUUGUGUAGGGGUAAAAUCCGUAGAGAUAACUAGGAAUACCAAAAGCGAAGGCGAUCCUCUGGAACAGUACUGACGCUGAGGCGCGAAAGCGUGGGGAGCAAACAGGAUUAGAAACCCGAGUAGUCC
This 274-nucleotide ribosomal RNA is filed under the name uncultured bacterium. RNAcentral describes it as "partial 16S ribosomal RNA". It matches the Rfam family "Bacterial small subunit ribosomal RNA", at positions 523 to 796 of the family's 1533-position model. The record is from RNAcentral.